AGCGUGAUCAGCCACAUUGGGACUGAGACACGGCCCAGACUCCUACGGGAGGCAGCAGUGGGGAAUAUUGCGCAAUGGACGAAAGUCUGACGCAGCGACGCCGCGUGGGGGAGGAAGGCCUUAGGGUCGUAAACCCCUGUCAGAUGGGACGAACCGUAGAUCGGCUAAUAUCUGGUCUGCCUGACGGUACCAUCAGAGGAAGCUCCGGCUAACUCCGUGCCAGCAGCCGCGGUAAUACGGAGGGAGCAAGCGUUGUUCGGAAUUACUGGGCGUAAAGGGCGCGUAGGCGGCCUAGUAAGUCGAGUGUGAAAUGCCGGGGCUCAACUCCGUGCACUGCAUUCGAUACUGCCUGGCUAGAGAAAGGUAGAGGCGAGCGGAAUUCCCGGUGUAGCGGUGGAAUGCGUAGAUAUCGGGAAGAACACCUGUGGCGAAGGCGGCUCGCUGGGCCUUUUCUGACGCUGAAGCGCGAAAGCGUGGGGA
This 480-nucleotide ribosomal RNA is filed under the name uncultured bacterium. Its description in RNAcentral is "bacterial SSU rRNA". It matches the Rfam family "Bacterial small subunit ribosomal RNA", at positions 297 to 767 of the family's 1533-position model. The record is from RNAcentral.